RNAcentral lists this transfer RNA (71 nucleotides) under Marmota monax (woodchuck). RNAcentral describes it as "tRNA.Ala". It matches the Rfam family "tRNA". Rfam says of the family: Transfer RNA (tRNA) molecules are approximately 80 nucleotides in length. Their secondary structure includes four short double-helical elements and three loops (D, anti-codon, and T loops). The record is from RNAcentral. Lineage: Eukaryota; Metazoa; Chordata; Mammalia; Rodentia; Sciuridae.
GGGGUUGUAGCUCAGUGGUGGAGCACUUGCCUCGCACGCUUGAGGCCCUGGGUUCCAUCCCCAGCACCACA